AUUAGAUACCCUGGGUAGUCCACGCAGUAAACGAUGAGCACUAAUUGUCCGGUCCGAAUGAGGACUGGGUGAUACAGCGAAAGCGUUAAGUGCUCCACCUGGGGAGUACGCCGGCAACGGUGAAACUCAAAGGAAUUGACGGGGGCCCGCACAAGCGGAGGAACAUGUGGUUUAAUUCGAUGAUACGCGAGGAACCUUACCCGGGCUCAAACGGCGGAGGACAGGCGCAGAGACGUGCCCUCCUUCGGGUCUCCGCCGAGGUGCUGCAUGGUUGUCGUCAGCUCGUGCCGUGAGGUGUCGGCUUAAGUGCCAUAACGAGCGCAACCCCUGCCGGCAGUUGCUAACGGGUAAAGCCGAGGACUCUGCCGGGACUGCCGGCGCAAGCCGCGAGGAAGGCGGGGAUGACGUCAAAUCAGCACGGCCCUUACGUCCGGGGCGACACACGUGUUACAAUGGGUGGCACAGAGGGAAGCCAGGUGGCGACACCGAGCGGAACCCGAAAUCCACUCUCAGUUCGGAUCGGAGUCUGCAACCCGACUCCGUGAAGCUGGAUUCGCUAGUAAUCGCGCAUCAGCCAUGGCGCGGUGAAUACGUUCCCGGGCCUUGUACACACCGCCCGUCAAGCCAUGGGAGCCGAGGGCGCUUGAAGUGCGUCGCCGCGAGGCGCGCCCUAGAGCGAAAUCGGUGACUGGGGCUAAGUCGUAACAAGGUAGC
This 714-nucleotide ribosomal RNA is filed under the name uncultured bacterium. RNAcentral describes it as "bacterial SSU rRNA". It matches the Rfam family "Bacterial small subunit ribosomal RNA", at positions 777 to 1500 of the family's 1533-position model. The record is from RNAcentral.